CCAGUUCCAGAGCAAGUGGCACAAAGCAAUGCACCUUUCGCUUCACAACAAAUGCAACGCUUAUUAUCACCAAUCUCUCUCUCGGACAUAGAUAAUCCAACUGGCUCAUCGAUGAUCUCUUCAGGUAUGGGCUUGUCGUAACAGAACAUUGACUCGAGACUGCUUAACUGUCUGUUCACAUCUCUUUUUACACAUGACUCAGCCUACAUAAUUUAAACAAACAAUGAUUCUUAUUAAUGCUAGUACUCGUAAUCAUCAUCAUCAUCAUCAAACAAGUCAUGACAUUUAGAAUCUGCAUCAUUUCAGAUGCAGAUAAUUUGAAAUAAUUUGAAAUUACUGAUGAUAUUAGUUAAUUCGUAAUCCAAAUUGAGUGUUCCACAUGAAUGAAACAUAAAUCUCAGCAGAAGGAGAGAUAUUAACCUUGAGAGACGAAGAAGGAGGAGGAAGAGAGCACACUUUUACGCGGGAACCGAAUAAUCUAGGAGAAGGAAUCACGCGUCGAGUUCUUCCGCCGAUAAAACUCGGUUUCGCCGGAAAAGCAAAAUCUAAAGCGGUAUUCAUCGUCGACGAGAGCGAGAUUUCGAAAUCGAAUAGAGAGAUGAAGAAGGUGAGUGAUGAUGAUUAGCUUUGGAACCAUCGCCGGUCAUAGGUCUUGUUGUUCGCAAUAACCGAACUAUACCGACAAUGGUAUCCGGUUAUCUAAAUCGAGCAUAUAUCGCUACUCGUAAUAUUAUUUAAACCGAACGAUAAUGGGCCGUUGUAAAUAUGGGCUAUAUCUUCUGGCCCAAUAGAACCUGCGAUAAAACGAAAACUUGGAGAAGAUAUGGUAGCUCCUUCUCUAAUCCGAAGCUAGAGGCUCUCAUACUCACUUCAACUGCAAGCAGAAAGAUAAGGCGAAACAAUGUCUGUGUCAGCGAUCUUUGGCACCGGAAUCGCCACAGUCGGUUGUUCCCCGGCUCUCCGCCAGUUUCAAGUUCCGAAACUGGGAAACGGAGGAGGAGUGGGAGGAGGAUUGGGGAUGGUGAUAGAGUGUUCGUCGAGGCCGCAGAAGAAAUCGACGGCUCAUCACAGGAAGACGAGGCCGAAGAAGACGCAGCCUUGGGACAUUAAGAGGAAGCCCACCGUUUACGCUCCUCUUCCUCCUCUCCCGCCGGAUUGGUCUCCUCUCGCUCUUUCUUCCGACGACGCACACAAAUCACCUUUUUUUUUCUUCCCGUCUCACUCUUGUGUUUUUUCUUCGUGUUUGAUUCUUCCUCUUCGAAUCAUCGUCUUCGAUUUUUCCUCUUCGAGUCCUCGUCUUCGAUUCUUCCUCUUCGUGUUCGAUUCUUCUUCCUCGUCUUCGUUCUUCUUCAAUUUUUUUUCGAUUCUUCACCAACUUCUGAUUUCAUCAUCUCUUAAGAUUUGAUUUUUCGUGAUUUGUGUUAUGGGUUUUCACUAUUAGCUACUGAUUCGUAUCAUCUACUAAUAUUGUGUUAUGGUUUAUGUGUUAAAUAGAUCGGUGAUUUGUGUUCAUAACGAAGUUGGUGGCGAGUCUGGCGACUGUUUCUGUUUCCGCAAGUCAGACGAAAUUACGAAUUUUUUAAACUUAUCUUGAAUUUUUUAUAACUUUGAAACAUGAAGUUUAAAACUUAAAGUUUAAGUAUGUGACAUCUUUAAAAUUGAAAACUUAAUAAUCUUUAAAUUUUUAAAACUGAAAUUAUGUUGUUUACAUUAAAUGGGCGUAUGGGCCGCCCAUGGAUAGCCCAACAAAUCAUGGUCUUAUUUGGUUAUGGUCGCAUUUGGACAUGGUUCUAUUUGGGCUUCGACCAAAAAUAUCCAGCAAAAAAAUGAAACCCAUUCGGACACACCCAAACCCGCCCAACCCGCCCAUUUGACAUCUCUAAAUGCUUUCAUCAUCCAAUACUUCGGGGUAAUAUCUCACUAUCAAAUUGGAGGAAGAAGAAUCAAAACGGCUUUAGUAUGUUACCUCAGGGGAGAGUUUCUUGGGCUGCUGCAAUGAUGUGUAUUGGGUUACUAUGUAGCUUAUUCUGAGGAUCCAUAUAGCCAUAACUCUUACAACACAAUUCCAAAACAUAUUAUGCGACAAGAUAUAGAAAAGACAAAAAGACUAGCUGAGUGCGAGAGAAAGAACAUGAAAUAACAUACACAAGAACAUAUCAAAUUAAUACAAGAAAAUACCUUUUUAUUGCUUUUCAAUUUCACUGUGGCUUUUUCAAGCUUGAGAGUGGAUGUUCUUCAGCUUCCUAUGCAAAAUGCACUUAGAGAAAGAAUGUACAUACAUAAGUGAAACGACGACUGAUUCAAUUCUCAUCCUAACUCUACUUUACUUUCUUUCCCUCAGUUUUCAUUGUCUAUAUCUGAAUGCAUAAACAAUCAAAAUAGCAAUAGAAGAGAGAGGGAUAACUUCUGAUUUAGUCACAGCCAUUUAGGAGAUAAUUUUUUAUACAACAAUAGAAAGAUGAAUUUAGUCUUUUACAAGAUUGUGGACUACAUCAGUACAUGAACACAAAUCUAUAAAUGGAACUGACAAAGGUAGGAUUCUGCAAUAAGAUCAGAGAAGGCACAACUUAUAAAAGUGGCAAAACAAGUAAAAUGAGGACAAAACCAUGACUAAAAACAAAGUGAAACUUGGGGGUCGUUAAUGGCCCAAGUGACCACGCCCGCCACAACUUUUACACAUAAUGUUACCACUUCCACCGCAACCUACAUCAAAACAAUCAAAUUGGUUAAUACAUAACAUUAUAUAACUUGAGCAACAUAAGAAGAAAGAAAAGCAUGAUAGGAGAAUUGACCUAAGCAACGGACUUUAACAAUGAUGCCUUGGCUCUCCAUAAUGGAGUCAACGUAUAGACCAGUUCCAGAGCAAGUGGCACAAAGCAAUGCACCUUUCGCUUCACAACAAAUGCAACGCUUAUUAUCACCAAUCUCUCUCUCGGACAUAGAUAAUCCAACUGGCUCAUCGAUGAUCUCUUCAGGUAUGGGCUUGUCGUAACAGAACAUUGACUCGAGACUGCUUAACUGUCUGUUCACAUCUCUUUUUACACAUGACUCA
Molecule: long non-coding RNA, 3052 nt
Filed under: Brassica napus (rape)
Lineage: Eukaryota; Viridiplantae; Streptophyta; Magnoliopsida; Brassicales; Brassicaceae
Description: long non-coding RNA (BNAP_LNC002051)
Source: RNAcentral